RNAcentral lists this ribosomal RNA (253 nucleotides) under uncultured Coprococcus sp. Its description in RNAcentral is "partial 16S ribosomal RNA". It matches the Rfam family "Bacterial small subunit ribosomal RNA", at positions 524 to 776 of the family's 1533-position model. Lineage: Bacteria; Bacillati; Bacillota; Clostridia; Lachnospirales; Lachnospiraceae. The record is from RNAcentral.
UACGUAGGGGGCAAGCGUUAUCCGGAUUUACUGGGUGUAAAGGGAGCGUAGACGGUACGCCAAGUCUGAAGUGAAAUGCCGCAGCUUAACUGCGGGACUGCUUUUGGAACUAUCUAGCUAGAUUGCAGGAGAGGUAAGUGGAAUUCCUAGUGUAGCGGUGAAAUGCGUAGAUAUUAGGAGGAACACCAGUGGCGAAGGCGGCUUACUGGACUGUAAAUGACGCUGAGGCUCGAAAGCGUGGGGAGCAAACAGG